Molecule: long non-coding RNA, 2498 nt
Organism: Lucilia sericata (common green bottle fly)
Lineage: Eukaryota; Metazoa; Arthropoda; Insecta; Diptera; Calliphoridae
Exons: 3
Source: RefSeq, a predicted model, not a curated record
CAAAAUGCAUUAACAUUUUCUUGUUUUAAGAAGAAUGUUGAAAAAUUAAAAAAUAAUCUUAAGUAAAGAGAUAAUUGAAGUUAAUGAAAAUUGUUUCAAAGAAUUUUUGUAAAAAAAAAAAAAUAUUAAAGUUGUAACUUUAAUCCUUAUAUUUAUUUUUUUGUUGGUGAUAUUUAGGGAUUUUUUUCUACGACAUUGAGUUGUUAAUUUUGUAGGUUUUGUCUUUUGCAAUUGGAUUAUGGCUAAGAGCUUAAUGAGUACAAGAAAAUACAGUCAAUUUCCCAUGUGACAGUUCUCAUAUUAAAUAAUUCGUAAUAAAAAUGUAUUAAAAAAAACACUACUUUCCACAUUGUGGCAGGGUCUGGUGUUUAUUUGUGAAUUUGUUGUACAACUGUGUAUAUAAGAUCUCGUGUAUAUUUAAUGUGCUUAUGCCAGAAAAUGUGUAUAAAACUAUUGAAACACGAAAAAUAUGCAGUUAAAUUGUGGUGGUAAAUUGUAGAGUAAAGUGGCAGUAACUGAAAACAGCUACAACCACAACUACAAUGGCAAACUAAAUGUUAAAACGACAAACUAAUUUAAAUAAAUAAUAAAAAAAACCGACCAGAGGAGUGGUUAAGCAGCAACCGCAGGCAAUAGUUUAUGACACAAAAAACAAAAAUCAAUAAAAAUAAUUACAGUUUUAUAAUAGAAAAUACAAAAACAAGUACAAUACAACAACUAUAAUAUAGAAAAGUAUACUGGAAAAAAGUAAAUAAAAUAAAACACGUCAUGUUUAAAUAAAAAAAACGCCAGUUAUAACAAAUACGAAAAAAAAUCAAUCAAACUAAAUACACAGACAAAAUAAGAAACGGAAAGAGGAAAAAGGAAAUAUUAAGAAAAAUUUAAGGUAAAUAAUCGUUAUCGACAUCAUCAUUUUGAUGAUGAUUCACAUCAUUUAAAAAGUUUGUUACACAGUCAUCAUUAUUUUUUUCGGCUAAAAGUUAAUGAAUAUAAACAGCUAGCAGAACGAAAACAACAACAACAACAACAAUUUUAACAAAAUCAAAAGCAACAAAAUCUUCUUCACAGUUGGCUAAAAGAAAAACCAAAAACAAAAAAAAAAAAAAAUCUAUAAAUUUUUAUUAUUAAUGUCUUUCUAAAUAUUUUCUUCGUGUGCGUCUUCAGUUUCUCAAUGUAUUUAAGCGGGCGAGUUGCUAUCUAAACGUUUCAAGUUAAUGUGUCUGUGUUUGUGUUUUUAUUUAUAACCAAAAAAAAAAGUUUAUGAAAUUAAAAAUACAUUAUUUCAAGCUAUAACAUAUUGUUGUGGUGGUUAUUAUUGAAAGUUGAGAAAAAAAGUUAUAAAACGUCGAAAGAAAUAACGAAAAAGAAACAAAUAAUAAGCAAAUAAAGUCAAAAGAAAAAAAACCUACUACUAACAGCCUUUAUAAGUAACAAAUGUGUAAAAUAUUCAUAUUGAAAGUGUGCCGUAAAUAUUGAACCAAUCAUUGUUAUGUUAAUAAAUUCAAUGAAAAUAUAAUUUAUUGUCUGCUGUUGCCAGUCCUUCUUUUCAUGCUGAAGUGCAGACAAGGUUUUCUUUGGAAAAGUGCGUAGAGGAAUUUUUGCUGAAUAUUAAUAUUGCCGAGACAAAGGGAUACAUUUAUGCCGCCAACAGAAAAAGUGACAGUCAAAUAGCAAAGAAAAAAUAAAGCAACAAGAAAGGAGAAGAAACAAAAAAAAAAAAACAAAGCAGAUAAUAAAGGUAUCAACAGAAUUUAAAUGUAUUUAUGUGUAUAAAGGAUAAUUGUGACAUAAUGCUUAUUAAGCAGAAGCAUAACAUGAAUACACGCACAUGUUGGGAAGUACACAUUGCAGACAUAAAACUUUAAUAUACACAAGAACUACUGUUAACAGCAAAAGUAACCCAGCAAACAUAAGCUUUUUGGGAAAAACUUUUUAGUUUUAAACCAUUCUACACGUCUCAAGAUGCAAGAUCCAUUCAAUGUUGUGAAGUUAAAUCUUUUUAAAAUAUAUACGUUUACGAAUUUCUUUGGCUAUAGUUGGGAAAUGUAGGAGAUAGUUGUCAUUUCUCUCAAAAAUUUUGUAUUCUCACAUCCAAUUAUUUGAUAGCCAGUAGUAAAGCUUUUCUGAAUUUAAAACUGUGUCAAACUUCACAUUACAAAAACUCUUAUUCUAAUAAUUUUCAAAUUUGAAAUUUGGUUUCAGUAGCAUAGUUUCUUAAACCCAUGACGUUGUGCUUGCUGGGUAAAGACUGAAAUUGGUCGUUAAAGGAGAGAGAACGUGAAAAAAGUCAAAUAGAAAGACCGGCCUUUAUGGCAAGCACAUGUCACUAGUGCGACAAUUCAAAGAAAAAUUCAAACACGUUACACGUAUUUUAACAGUCAGCAACUCGAUUUUUUUCCUCAAUUUAUUUUGGACUUGUUGGGGGCUUUUGACAGCAGAAAAAAAUAUAUGUAUAAAACAUGCGUUUGAUAUUUUUUGCACACACACGUACGCAUGUG